GACGAACGCUGGCGGCGUGCUUAACACAUGCAAGUCGAGCGGUAAGGCCCUUUCGGGGGUACACGAGCGGCGAACGGGUGAGUAACACGUGGGUGACCUGCCUUUAGCUCUGGGAUAAGCCUGGGAAACCGGGUCUAAUACCGGAUAUGACUCCGCGGCGCAUGUUGUGGGGUGGAAAGCCUUGUGCGGCUGGAGAUGGGCCCGCGGCCUAUCAGCUUGUUGGUGGGGUGAUGGCCUACCAAGGCGACGACGGGUAGCCGGCCUGAGAGGGCGACCGGCCACACUGGGACUGAGACACGGCCCAGACUCCUACGGGAGGCAGCAGUGGGGAAUCCUGCGCAAUGGGCGAAAGCCUGACGCAGCGACGCCGCGUGAGGGAUGACGGCCU
RNAcentral lists this ribosomal RNA (388 nucleotides) under uncultured bacterium. RNAcentral describes it as "bacterial SSU rRNA". It matches the Rfam family "Bacterial small subunit ribosomal RNA", at positions 28 to 417 of the family's 1533-position model. The record is from RNAcentral.